AUAUCUCUCUGUACGGGAAGGAUGAGAAGCUUCGACUAAGGUUCGAUUCGAGCGUCAGCGAGAAAGCGUUGCCG
RNAcentral lists this small RNA (74 nucleotides) under Salmonella enterica subsp. enterica serovar Heidelberg. Its description in RNAcentral is "partial RtT sRNA". It matches the Rfam family "RtT RNA", at positions 1 to 73 of the family's 130-position model. From Rfam's summary of the family: This family represents a bacterial cis-regulatory element known as RtT RNA. The exact function of RtT is unknown although it is thought that it may be involved in changing the cellular response in relation to amino acid starvation. RNAcentral also lists the same sequence under 5 other names. Lineage: Bacteria; Pseudomonadati; Pseudomonadota; Gammaproteobacteria; Enterobacterales; Enterobacteriaceae. The record is from RNAcentral.